CCCGGACGUAGGUAGUUUGUUGGGCCGGGUUCUGAGGCCUUGCUUCUCUUUACUUUUCCACUCUAGGCCACGAUGCCGCAGUACCAGACCUGGGAGGAGUUCAGCCGCGCUGCCGAGAAGCUUUACCUCGCUGACCCUAUGAAGGCACGUGUGGUUCUCAAAUAUAGGCAUUCUGAUGGGAACUUGUGUGUUAAAGUAACAGAUGAUUUAGUUACCAAGCUCAAGAUGUAAAGAAGAUUGAGAAAUUCCACAGUCAACUAAUGCGACUUAUGGUAGCCAAGGAAGCCCGCAAUGUUACCAUGGAAACUGAGUGAAUGGUUUGAAAUGAAGACUUUGUCGUGUACUUAGGAAGUAAAUAUCUUUUGAAUUAGAGAAAGUGUUGGGACAGAAAGUACUUUAUGUAACUAAGUGGGCUGUUCAGAAGCUUAGAGGUCAUUUUUUGUAAUUUUCUUUUUAAUUACUUUAGAGAGCUAGGGAUGCAAAUGUUUUCAGUUAGAAAGCCUUUAUUUACUUUUGGAAAUUGAACAAGAAAUGCAUCUGUCUUAGAAACUGGAGAUUAUUUGAUGUUAGGUAAAACAUGUAAUUGUUUCUCUGGCAAAUUUGUAUCAGUAAUUUGAAAAUGAGAUAUUAGGAAAAACCAAUUCUUCUUAAAUUUAGUUCAUCUUUCUUUAAAAGAACAUUAAAUGUAACCAUUUUGUCAGAUCCAUGUAUUUUGGAGCAUAAAAUGUAUGCUGUUGUGACCAAUAAAUAUAAAAUAUGGUAAUUGGAAUUAACUCCACACCAUAGUAUGCAUUGUUAUACAUACUGUGUACCUAAUUAUGUAUAGCAGUGUAGUCUCAAUUAUAUCUGAAAGUAAUUGUGACUAACAAGUAUGCUUUGCCUUAUUUCCACAUUUAAACUACCUGUUAAUAUAAGGGAUUUGUAGUAUCAGCUUGUUGAGCAAUGACUUUGAAUCUAGUUUUCAGUGAUCAGAAGCAGCAGUUAUUUGAGUGUAUGAAUGGAAUGAUGAUCACUGUGCUAUAAUGUACUGAAACCACCAUAUUACAGAAAUAUUUACUACAUAUUUUCCAUCUGUAGUUUCUCAGAAGGGCUAUGGAUUAGUUUGAACUGUCAAAUCCUUGCAUACUUCUGUGACACCCCUGCCCAUUUUCUGUCUUUAAUUAACCAAGGUGUUAGGUGUGACUGUCACAACUGUUAUGUUUUCCAGUAAACUAGAAGUACGAUAUUUGAUAAUUAUAUUUGUAUUUCACCACCUAAAUGUAAUGUUGAUUCCUCAAGAAUGAAAUGAAGGCACUACAUUGAAAUAUGUUUUGUAUAAAUUUGUCAUGUUGAACAGCAUUUUAGCAUGGUAAGUUCCCUUAGCUAUAUGAAUUUUGGCAUGUUUCAGAGAGAUCAGUAAAUAAAAUAUUAGAUAAAAUA
RNAcentral lists this long non-coding RNA (1419 nucleotides) under Homo sapiens (human). RNAcentral's name for it is "long non-coding RNA NONHSAT150651". The record is from RNAcentral. Lineage: Eukaryota; Metazoa; Chordata; Mammalia; Primates; Hominidae.